This 301-nucleotide ribosomal RNA is filed under the name uncultured bacterium. RNAcentral's name for it is "partial 16S ribosomal RNA". It matches the Rfam family "Bacterial small subunit ribosomal RNA", at positions 509 to 807 of the family's 1533-position model. The record is from RNAcentral.
CAGCAGCCGCGGUAAUACGUAGGUGGCAAGCGUUGUCCGGAAUUAUUGGGCGUAAAGGGCUCGCAGGCGGUUUCUUAAGUCUGAUGUGAAAGCCCCCGGCUCAACCGGGGAGGGUCAUUGGAAACUGGGAAACUUGAGUGCAGAAGAGGAGAGUGGAAUUCCACGUGUAGCGGUGAAAUGCGUAGAGAUGUGGAGGAACACCAGUGGCGAAGGCGACUCUCUGGUCUGUGACUGACGCUGAGGAGCGAAAGCGUGGGGAGCGAACAGGAUUAGAUACCCCUGUAGUCCCUGUCUCUUAUAC